GCCUAGCCCUAAAUCUUGAUGCCUACCCUACCUAAGCAUCCGCCCGAGAACUACGAGCACAAACGCUUAAAACUCUAAGGACUUGGCGGUGUCCCAAACCCACCUAGAGGAGCCUGUUCUAUAAUCGAUAACCCACGAUACACCCAACCACCCCUCGCCAGCACAGCCUACAUACCGCCGUCGCCAGCUCACCUCGCCUGAGGGACCUACAGUGAGCACAAUAGCCGCAAAUCCCGCUAACAAGACAGGUCAAGGUAUAGCCUAUGGGGUGGAAGAAAUGGGCUACAUUUUCUAAGAUAGACUAGAUCAACGGAAUAAAGGUGUGAAAUCACCUUUAGAAGGCGGAUUUAGCAGUAAAGUGAGAUAAUUAAGCUCCCUUUAAGCCGGCCCUGGGACACGU
Molecule: ribosomal RNA, 400 nt
Filed under: Fregata andrewsi (Christmas frigatebird)
Lineage: Eukaryota; Metazoa; Chordata; Aves; Suliformes; Fregatidae
Description: partial 12S small subunit ribosomal RNA
Rfam family: Bacterial small subunit ribosomal RNA
Source: RNAcentral